Molecule: long non-coding RNA, 2656 nt
Organism: Nyctereutes procyonoides (raccoon dog)
Lineage: Eukaryota; Metazoa; Chordata; Mammalia; Carnivora; Canidae
Exons: 2
Source: RefSeq, a predicted model, not a curated record
CCAGCCUCUCGCGCCCCCAAGGCCCCGCCCCUCUUACCUCGGCGGCAGGUCCAGCUCUGACCCUCCCACGGCGCUCCAGGUGCUCCACCCUUCGUGGCCACGCCCCCGCCCGCCCGCAAGUUUCCAGCUGCCCACCCUAGGCUCGCCCCUCCACCUGCCCCCGCCACCUCCGAGGCCCCUCCUCGAUGCCCCGCCUCCUGAGCUCCUUGAUACGCGGCUCUUACGCCCUCUACCGGCCGGAUUCGCCCAUCCCAUGGAGUCCAGGACAGUCCUUUCCUAAUCCCUUCAAGAGCCGUUUCUAGCCUACUCCCUUCGCAAAGUCCCUUCAGCCUCACACACAAAAGGAGCUCCAACUGAAACGACUUGCCGCUGCCAAACCGACACACCUACCUGUGGCCCUCCACCCUCCUAACAAAACGAAUGGGUCGCCUCUCCUACUGCAAGCUGAUCCUGCCGCUGAGCUGGCCUUCACCUCUGCCCCAGUCUGGCAAGUCUCCCAUUGUACCGGGUACUGGGGCCUUCCCCACCUCCACCUGCCUCUGGGAGGUCCCAUUCAUCCUCAGUCCCAGCUUAAGUGCAAGGUGGCUCCUUGACAUCUGAAUGAGCCAAUGGGAAUUUAUGGAGUGCGUUGGAUAUAUGCGUAAUAUUAUUUCAUUCAUUUUAUUUAAUCCUAGAACCACCCUGUAGGUAAAUAAUAUUGCCUCUUCUCUAUGGGUCAUGAAGGAGAUGUAACUUUGACCAUUGCCAAAGUCAGGAAAUGGCAGUGCCUUCUAUGACUCAAAUUCAGAUUUGAGGACCUUCAAACACCAUGCUCCUCCAGUCUUCACUGGCCCCAGAUCCCUGAUGAAGAAGGGGUUCUCUCUCCUUGAGCCCCCAGCAGCCUCUUCGUUCUCCUUGGGGCUAAGCUCGCCUUCCCCAGAAAGAGAAUAGCGUGGUCUGACUCACACUCCCCUCGGCCCAAGAGGACUGUGGCUAGACCUGACUAGUCUGGCAGGCUCUGGGAGCAGGAGGCCCUGGUCCAGAUCAGAGGGACAGGGAUGGGCCUAGGGCAAGAUGGUAGACACUAUGGGAUUGAUUGACCAUGGGCCUUGCCUUUUGCUUCCCCUGGGUUGUGGCAAAUCACUGUAGGGAGAAAAUUCUUUCUCUUUGAGUUGAGACCAGCCUCCUCUAAGUCCCUCACCUCAACUUUGUCUCAGCUCUGCCUCAAAAGUACAUCUCUCCUUCACUGGGGAAUUGAUGGCAAGAAAGAGAACCCUCCUGGCCUAUUGCUCUCUACCUUUGCCUUGCUGUGUGACCUUGUGUGUAUCCUUACACUUCCCCGGGCCUCGGGUGCCUCAUCUGAAAAGUGAGGAGUGGGUCUAGAUUUACCCAAAGGUGCCUCUCUGACUCUAUUUGAAGUCAGACUCUUGUUUCCUCUGAAGUGUUUUUCUACUCUUUUGGGGGAAGUUUUGGUAUUGUGGGGGGACCCUCAUUCUGUGAAUCACUGCUUUCCUCCAUUAACAAUGGUCCCUACCACCUGAAAUUUGUACUUGUUCAAACUCUUUCGUAUCCUAUUUUGUCUUCAUAUCACUUCUGGAAUAGAGGUUUUUAUACCCAUGUCACAGAUGGGUAAACUGAUGGAGAGGAGCAGGGACUCAGGUCACCUCAGCAUCCUGCAGCUUGGCCUUGAGUGGGGCUGACUGAGGACUUUGGAUCAGGAAUUCCCCUUGGUGGGGAGGGAGAGUGUCUAACGAUCUAGGCUGGACCUCCACCCAAUGCAACACUCACCCAAUCAGAGAGUGGCUUGGCUGCUUCCAGCACCUCCUGAGUCCUCCCAGCCUCGGUUGCUUCUGAUUCAUGAUGAGACAAAGUCAUCUCCCAGGUACCGAGGGGGCCUGGUUGUGUUUAGCCCUUCAAAGACUUAUCUAGGAGGUAGCUGGAAACAUGGGGCAUCAAGAUGGAGAGGAGGACACUGUGCUGGGAGUCUAGAGCUGGGCCCAAUGCAGGCACCCUCACAGACACGCCAGGUGACCCUCAGCAGGUCGCUCUCUUCCUUUGGGACUUAGGCUCCUCGCCUAUGAAAGGGACAUGAAAACAACCCCAUCUACCCAGUGACUCACGGUGACCCAGCAAGAUCAGGGCUGUAGGUCCCUUAGAGAAAUCAAGAUAGUAAGGUCGUGAUGAUCACAGUCAUGGCCAAUGAUGGACCUUGGGUACUUAAGAGGGAGAAAGAUGAGGAAUAGAGGACUCCCAAGAAGUAGUAAGCCCCAGGAAGGAACUGUCUUAGGGGGGAAUUGGGCUCUUGACUCCAUUCCCAAGUCAAUUAGAAAUGACCUGAGAGUGUCCCCUUUCCUGUAUAAUUAGCCCUCAAACGCACAGAAUUGAAUUAUUUAUGACUUUUUGUUCAUGGCAUAUUCUCACCACUUAUUUAAUUGGCUCCCACCACAAAACAAAACAAUUAGGACUUUGACGAUCUCCUACAUCUCAUUAUCUAGCUUCCCUAACCCCUUCUCCUGCUGCCGUACCACCCAGGAUAACUAUUUUCUCCUGUGCUCAGCAUGCCCUUGCUUCCUUUUUGUAUAGUUUUGUUGCAUCUGUGUAUUCCUCCAAAGUAUGUAUUUUCAUUUUUGUUGUCUUUUUAACUUUAUAAAAAGGGCAUCUUGCUGUGUACAGUUUA